Molecule: transfer RNA, 67 nt
Filed under: Jaculus jaculus (lesser Egyptian jerboa)
Lineage: Eukaryota; Metazoa; Chordata; Mammalia; Rodentia; Dipodidae
Description: tRNA (ENSJJAG00000000037.1)
Source: RNAcentral
CAAGAAAUAGUUUAUUUAGAAUUUCAGCUUUGGGUGCUGAUGGUGGGGUCACAGACCUCUUUCUUGA